UGGGGAAUCUUGCGCAAUGGGCGAAAGCCUGACGCAGCCAUGCCGCGUGAAUGAUGAAGGUCUUAGGAUUGUAAAAUUCUUUCACCGGGGACGAUAAUGACGGUACCCGGAGAAGAAGCCCCGGCUAACUUCGUGCCAGCAGCCGCGGUAAUACGAAGGGGGCUAGCGUUGCUCGGAAUUACUGGGCGUAAAGGGCGCGUAGGCGGAUCGUUAAGUCAGGGGUGAAAUCCCGGGGCUCAACCUCGGAAUUGCCCUUGAUACUGGCGAUCUUGAGUAUGAGAGAGGUAUGUGGAACUCCGAGUGUAGAGGUGAAAUUCGUAGAUAUUCGGAAGAACACCAGUGGCGAAGGCGACAUACUGGCUCAUUACUGACGCUGAGGCGCGAAAGCGUGGGGAGCAAACA
Molecule: ribosomal RNA, 402 nt
Filed under: uncultured Brevundimonas sp.
Lineage: Bacteria; Pseudomonadati; Pseudomonadota; Alphaproteobacteria; Caulobacterales; Caulobacteraceae
Description: bacterial SSU rRNA
Rfam family: Bacterial small subunit ribosomal RNA
Source: RNAcentral